GUAGGUGGCAAGCGUUGUCCGGAAUUAUUGGGCGUAAAGCGCGCGCAGGGCGGUCCUUUAAGUCUGAUGUGAAAGCCCACGGCUCAACCGUGGAGGGUCAUUGGAAACUGGGGGACUUGAGUACAGAAGAGGAAAGCGGAAUUCCAAGUGUAGCGGUGAAAUGCGUAGAGAUUUGGAGGAACACCAGUGGCGAAGGCGGCUUUCUGGUCUGUAACUGACGCUGAGGCGCGAAAGCGUGGGGAGCAAACGGGAUUAGAUACCCUGGUAGUCCACGCCGUAAACGAUGAGUGCUAAGUGUUAGGGGGUUUCCGCCCCUUAGUGCUGCAGCUAACGCAUUAAGCACUCCGCCUGGGGAGUACGGCCGCAAAGGCUG
Molecule: ribosomal RNA, 373 nt
Filed under: uncultured organism
Description: partial 16S ribosomal RNA
Rfam family: Bacterial small subunit ribosomal RNA
Source: RNAcentral